AUCCUCUUGACUUAAUGGUAGAGUACGAAACUUCUAAUUUCUUUGUUUAGGUUCAAAUCCUAAAGAGGAUA
This 71-nucleotide transfer RNA is filed under the name Saitoella complicata NRRL Y-17804. It matches the Rfam family "tRNA". From Rfam's summary of the family: Transfer RNA (tRNA) molecules are approximately 80 nucleotides in length. Their secondary structure includes four short double-helical elements and three loops (D, anti-codon, and T loops). The record is from Rfam by way of RNAcentral. Lineage: Eukaryota; Fungi; Ascomycota; Saitoellomycetes; Saitoellales; Saitoellaceae.